RNAcentral lists this ribosomal RNA (611 nucleotides) under uncultured bacterium. RNAcentral's name for it is "bacterial SSU rRNA". The stretch from base 1 to 520 matches the Rfam family "Bacterial small subunit ribosomal RNA", at positions 338 to 873 of the family's 1533-position model. The record is from RNAcentral.
CCUACGGGAGGCAGCAGUGGGGAAUAUUGGACAAUGGGCGAAAGCCUGAUCCAGCAAUGCCGCGUGAGUGAUGAAGGCCUUAGGGUUGUAAAGCUCUUUUACCAGGGAUGAUAAUGACAGUACCUGGAGAAUAAGCUCCGGCUAACUCCGUGCCAGCAGCCGCGGUAAUACGGAGGGAGCUAGCGUUGUUCGGAAUUACUGGGCGUAAAGCGUGCGUAGGCGGUGACUCAAGUCAGAGGUGAAAGCCUGGAGCUCAACUCCAGAACUGCCUUUGAAACUAGGUCGCUAGAAUCAUGGAGAGGUGAGUGGAAUUCCGAGUGUAGAGGUGAAAUUCGUAGAUAUUCGGAAGAACACCAGUGGCGAAGGCGGCUCACUGGACAUGUAUUGACGCUGAGGCACGAAAGCGUGGGGAGCAAACAGGAUUAGAUACCCUGGUAGUCCACGCCGUAAACGAUGAUAACUAGCUGCCNGGCGUCAUGAGCGUUGGUGGCGCGAGCGUACGCGAGUAAGUUAGUCCGCCGUGGGAGGUAACGGUCGUCGAGAAGUUAAACGUUAAAGUUAGUAAGUUAGACGGCGUGAGACGUUGCGACGGACGACGACGAGGGAGGAGG